GCCAGUUCACAGCGACUCCCAACCCGUGAGAACCUUACCGCAUCCUUUCCGAGAGAGAGCGCCCGUUGCCUCCUGCCGGGCGGCGUGCCCUCCAUCCCCCCUCCCCUCUGCGGGAGGGAGGGCGGACGGGCGCCCGCCCGCCGGGGGCGCGGCGCGGCCGCUCCCUCCCGCCGCGAACCUUCUUUGCAGUAUAUUUGUAUCGUCUGAGCAAACCACAGAAUCGUUA
Molecule: unclassified non-coding RNA, 226 nt
Filed under: Grosmannia yunnanensis
Lineage: Eukaryota; Fungi; Ascomycota; Sordariomycetes; Ophiostomatales; Ophiostomataceae
Description: internal trancribed spacer 1
Source: RNAcentral